This 72-nucleotide transfer RNA is filed under the name bacterium. RNAcentral describes it as "tRNA-Met". It matches the Rfam family "tRNA". Rfam says of the family: Transfer RNA (tRNA) molecules are approximately 80 nucleotides in length. Their secondary structure includes four short double-helical elements and three loops (D, anti-codon, and T loops). The record is from RNAcentral.
GCCGGCGUAGCUCAGUGGUAGAGCGGAGUCUUCAUAAGACUAAGAUCGCAGGUUCGAUCCCUGCCGCCGGCA